CGGGCAUUUCAGAUUAUUUUGGUUAAUUUGAGUAAAUUUUAUUGAUAAAUUAUUUUUUGCCAGAAAAAAACAGGUGAUUUAAGUUUUUUGGAUAAAUUAUCAGGUAGUUUAUAUAAUUUUAAAUAAUUUAGGGAAAUAGUAUUCAUAUAAUUCAUUUUGGAUAGUUCAGUUUAUAAAUAAUAAGUUUAUGAUAUUUGUUACUGUAAAACUAGGUUUAUUUAAUAUUUUAGAUUUGUAAAUUAUAUUUCAAAUUGAGAUACUUAUUGAUUUUGGUUUGGUUCUCGUUUGUCUUUGAUAUUUUAGUUUCAGAAAAAUAUAGAAUACCUGAUAUAUAGAAAUAU
Molecule: long non-coding RNA, 341 nt
Filed under: Brassica napus (rape)
Lineage: Eukaryota; Viridiplantae; Streptophyta; Magnoliopsida; Brassicales; Brassicaceae
Description: long non-coding RNA (BNAP_LNC021315)
Source: RNAcentral